Molecule: ribosomal RNA, 253 nt
Filed under: uncultured bacterium
Lineage: Bacteria
Description: partial 16S ribosomal RNA
Rfam family: Bacterial small subunit ribosomal RNA
Source: RNAcentral
GACGUAGGGCGCGAGCGUUGUCCGGAUUUAUUGGGCGUAAAGAGCUCGUAGGCGGCUUGUCGCGUCGAAUGUGAAAUCCCGAGGCUCAACUUCGGGCUUGCAUUCGAUACGGGCAGGCUAGAGUUCGGUAGGGGAGACUGGAAUUCCUGGUGUAGCGGUGAAAUGCGCAGAUAUCAGGAGGAACACCGAUGGCGAAGGCAGUGGUCUGGGCCGAUACUGACGUGGAGGAGCGAAAGCGUGGGGAGCGAACAGG